CCUACGGGCGACAGCAGUGGGGAAUAUUGCACAAUGGGGGAAACCCUGAUGCAGCGACGCCGCGUGAGUGAAGAAGUAUUUCGGUACGUAAAGCUCUAUCAGCAGGGAAGAAAAUGACGGUACCUGACUAAGAAGCCCCGGCGAACUACGUGACAGCAGCCGCGGUAAUACGUAGGGGGCAAGCGUUAUCCGGAUUUACUGGGUGUAAAGGGAGCGUAGACGGCAGCGCAAGUCUGGAGUGAAAUCCCAUGGCUUAACCAUGGAACUGCUUUGGAAACUGUGCAGCUAGAGUGCAGGAGAGGUAAGCGGAAUGCCUAGUGUAGCGGUGAAAUGCGUAGAUAUUAGGAAGAACACCAGUGGCGAAGGCGGCUUACUGGACUGUAACUGACGUUGAGGCUCGAAAGCGUGGGUAGCGAACAGGAUUAGAUACCCCAGUAGUC
RNAcentral lists this ribosomal RNA (440 nucleotides) under uncultured bacterium. RNAcentral's name for it is "partial 16S ribosomal RNA". It matches the Rfam family "Bacterial small subunit ribosomal RNA", at positions 338 to 795 of the family's 1533-position model. The record is from RNAcentral.